This is an RNA transcript of Rattus norvegicus (Norway rat), 1035 nucleotides long. It is a transcript of the gene named adenylate kinase isoenzyme 5, with no coding region annotated. Lineage: Eukaryota; Metazoa; Chordata; Mammalia; Rodentia; Muridae. The transcript is spliced from 6 exons. The record is from RefSeq and is marked validated.
UUUGUGUCCUGGAGUCAGGGGAUCCCGAGGAUCUUGCAAAAUGAGUCCCUUGUGACGUAAAGCGGAGCCGAGGAGUCGUUGCAGGGCAGAGACCCGGCCCCGGCGUACCCCAGCAUUGCGGGCGGGAUGGGUCUGUGCGAGUCCACGCUGCCCCAGCUGGGCAGAGCUUUACGGCCCCAGGAGAAGGACAUCCUGAGGUAUCCUCUGAUCAUCUUUGUGGUGGGGGGGCCUGGCUGCGGGAAAGGGACCCAGUGCAGAAACAUGGCUAUGAAAUACGGCUUCUACCACGUGGAGCUGGGCCAGCUGCUGCGGGAGGAGGCUCAGAGAAGCACCCAGAGGGGCCGGCAGAUCCGGGACAUCAUGCAGCAGGGACUCCUGGUACCCACGGGUCUCAUUCUGGACAUGGUCAGUGACAACUUGUUGUCUUAUCCAAAGAGCCGCGGCUUUCUCGUCGAUGGCUUCCCCAGAGAGCUGGAACAGGCCAAAGAGUUUGAGCGGAUUGUGGGCAGGGCCCCCAACAUAGUCAUAGUGUUUGACUGCUCCAUGGAGACCAUGGUGCGCAGAGUGCUACGACGAGGACAGGUGGAGCACCGGGCAGAUGAUUCAGAGCUGGCCAUCCGCAAGCGCCUAGAGACACACUACACCCUAUGUGAGCCCGUCCUGACCUUUUACCAGCAAAAGAACCUUCUGAGAAAUAUAUUAGCUGAAGGAGCCCCUGAAAGCAUCUUCGCCAAGUGCUGUUCAGUCAUUGAGAGUCUGCAGUGAGCUAGGUAGGACUGGGCCAACAUCUCGCCUACCCUUCUCCACAGCAGACAGCAGUUUAUCUCAUCUUCAACAGAUGACAACGUACCAGGCCAGUCCUGGGGUUGGGGUGGGUAUAGGGAGGAGCCAGGGGAGAGCGGGGCGGGAAGAGAGAGAGAGAGAGAGAGAGACAGAGAGAGAUGGGCAGGGACAGGAGGGGCCUGUGACACCCACACCUGGUCCAAGGAAUGUUCCAACUCUAACUAAAAGAAAAAAAAAAAGAAAAAAAAAAAA